UCCAGAAAAAGCCAAACCCCGGGUGACCGAGGGACGGAAAGAUUCAGGUCCUGAGCAUGAUCGAUCGAAGGGCGCAAAGACAGACGGUCCAAUAAG
This 96-nucleotide unclassified non-coding RNA is filed under the name Desulfosarcina cetonica. RNAcentral describes it as "c-di-GMP-I". Lineage: Bacteria; Pseudomonadati; Thermodesulfobacteriota; Desulfobacteria; Desulfobacterales; Desulfosarcinaceae. The record is from RNAcentral.